GUGGGAAACCUGCCCAGAAGAGGGGGAUAACACCUGGAAACAGAUGCUAAUACCGCAUAACAACUUGGACCGCAUGGUCCGAGUUUGAAAGAUGGCUUCGGCUAUCACUUUUGGAUGGUCCCGCGGCGUAUUAGCUAGAUGGUGAGGUAACGGCUCACCAUGGCAAUGAUACGUAGCCGACCUGAGAGGGUAAUCGGCCACAUUGGGACUGAGACACGGCCCAAACUCCUACGGGAGGCAGCAGUAGGGAAUCUUCCACAAUGGACGAAAGUCUGAUGGAGCAACGCCGCGUGAGUGAAGAAGGGUUUCGGCUCGUAAAACUCUGUUGUUAAAGAAGAACAUAUCUGAGAGUAACUGUUCAGGUAUUGACGGUAUUUAACCAGAAAGCCACGGCUAACUACGUGCCAGCAGCCGCGGUAAUACGUAGGUGGCAAGCGUUGUCCGGAUUUAUUGGGCGUAAAGCGAGCGCAGGCGGUUUUUUAAGUCUGAUGUGAAAGCCUUCGGCUCAACCGAAGAAGUGCAUCGGAAACUGGGAAACUUGAGUGCAGAAGAGGACAGUGGAACUCCAUGUGUAGCGGUGAAAUGCGUAGAUAUAUGGAAGAACACCAGUGGCGAAGGCGGCUGUCUGGUCUGUAACUGACGCUGAGGCUCGAAAGUAUGGGUAGCAAACAGGAUUAGAUACCCUGGUAGUCCAUACCGUAAACGAUGAAUGCUAAGUGUUGGAGGGUUUCCGCCCUUCAGUGCUGCAGCUAACGCAUUAAGCAUUCCGCCUGGGGAGUACGGCCGCAAGGCUGAAACUCAAAGGAAUUGACGGGGGCCCGCACAAGCGGUGGAGCAUGUGGUUUAACUCGAAGCUACGCGAAGAACCUUACCAGGUCUUGACAUACUAUGCAAAUCUAAGAGAUUAGACGUUCCCUUCGGGGACAUGGAUACAGGUGGUGCAUGGUUGUCGUCAGCUCGUGUCGUGAGAUGUUGGGUUAAGUCCCGCAACGAGCGCAACCCUUAUUAUCAGUUGCCAGCAUUAAGUUGGGCACUCUGGUGAGACUGCCGGUGACAAACCGGAGGAAGGUGGGGAUGACGUCAAAUCAUCAUGCCCCUUAUGACCUGGGCUACACACGUGCUACAAUGGAUGGUACAACGAGUUGCGAACUCGCGAGAGUAAGCUAAUCUCUUAAAGCCAUUCUCAGUUCGGAUUGUAGGCUGCAACUCGCCUACAUGAAGUCGGAAUCGCUAGUAAUCGCGGAUCAGCAUGCCGCGGUGAAUACGUUCCCGGGCCUUGUACACACCGCCCGUCACACCAUGAGAGUUUGUAACACCCAAAGUCGGUGGGGUAACCUUUUAGGAACCAGCCGCCUAAGGUGGGACAGAUGAUUAGGGUGAAGUCGUAACAAGGU
Molecule: ribosomal RNA, 1394 nt
Filed under: uncultured Lactobacillus sp.
Lineage: Bacteria; Bacillati; Bacillota; Bacilli; Lactobacillales; Lactobacillaceae
Description: bacterial SSU rRNA
Rfam family: Bacterial small subunit ribosomal RNA
Source: RNAcentral